RNAcentral lists this ribosomal RNA (606 nucleotides) under Brucella intermedia. RNAcentral's name for it is "bacterial SSU rRNA". It matches the Rfam family "Bacterial small subunit ribosomal RNA", at positions 105 to 745 of the family's 1533-position model. The record is from RNAcentral. Lineage: Bacteria; Pseudomonadati; Pseudomonadota; Alphaproteobacteria; Hyphomicrobiales; Brucellaceae.
GGUGAGUAACGCGUGGGAACGUACCAUUUGCUACGGAAUAACUCAGGGAAACUUGUGCUAAUACCGUAUGAGCCCGAAAGGGGAAAGAUUUAUCGGCAAAUGAUCGGCCCGCGUUGGAUUAGCUAGUUGGUGGGGUAAAGGCCUACCAAGGCGACGAUCCAUAGCUGGUCUGAGAGGAUGAUCAGCCACACUGGGACUGAGACACGGCCCAGACUCCUACGGGAGGCAGCAGUGGGGAAUAUUGGACAAUGGGCGCAAGCCUGAUCCAGCCAUGCCGCGUGAGUGAUGAAGGCCCUAGGGUUGUAAAGCUCUUUCACCGGUGAAGAUAAUGACGGUAACCGGAGAAGAAGCCCCGGCUAACUUCGUGCCAGCAGCCGCGGUAAUACGAAGGGGGCUAGCGUUGUUCGGAUUUACUGGGCGUAAAGCGCACGUAGGCGGGCUAAUAAGUCAGGGGUGAAAUCCCGGGGCUCAACCCCGGAACUGCCUUUGAUACUGUUAGUCUUGAGUAUGGUAGAGGUGAGUGGAAUUCCGAGUGUAGAGGUGAAAUUCGUAGAUAUUCGGAGGAACACCAGUGGCGAAGGCGGCUCACUGGUACCAUUACUGACG